GACGUAGGUGGCGAGCGUUGUCCGGAUUUACUGGGCGUAAAGGGCUUGUAGGCGGUCCGUUAAGUCCGAUGUGAAAUCUCCCGGCUCAACUGGGAGAGGUCAUUGGAUACUGGCGGACUAGAGGGGGGUAGAGGAAAGCAGAAUUCCUGGUGUAGCGGUGAAAUGCGUAGAUAUCAGGAGGAAUACCAGUGGCGAAGGCGGCUUUCUGGGCCUACCCUGACGCUGAGGAGCGAAAGCGUGGGGAGCAAACCGG
RNAcentral lists this ribosomal RNA (253 nucleotides) under uncultured bacterium. Its description in RNAcentral is "partial 16S ribosomal RNA". It matches the Rfam family "Bacterial small subunit ribosomal RNA", at positions 524 to 776 of the family's 1533-position model. The record is from RNAcentral.